CGUGCAGGCGGAACGGAAAGUGUCGGGUGAAAGCCCACGGCUCAACCGUGGAACUGCCCGGCAAACUAUCGUUCUUGAGGCAGGUAGAGGUGACUGGAACGACUGGUGGAGCGGUGAAAUGCGUAGAUAUCAGUUGGAACGCCGGAGGCGAAAGCGGGUCACUGGGCCUGUCCUGACGCUGAGACGCGAAAGCGUGGGGAGCAAACA
This 207-nucleotide ribosomal RNA is filed under the name uncultured bacterium. Its description in RNAcentral is "partial 16S ribosomal RNA". It matches the Rfam family "Bacterial small subunit ribosomal RNA", at positions 568 to 774 of the family's 1533-position model. The record is from RNAcentral.